CGGGUGAGUAAUGUAUGGGGAUCUGCCUGAUGGCGGGGGGUAACUACUGGAAACGGUAGCUAAUACCGCAUAAUGUCUGCGGACCAAAGCGGGGGACCUCCGGGCCUCGCGCCAUCAGAUGAACCCAUAUGGGAUUAGCUAGUAGGUAAGGUAACGGCUUACCUAGGCGACGAUCCCUAGCUGGUCUGAGAGGAUGAUCAGCCACACUGGGACUGAGACACGGCCCAG
RNAcentral lists this ribosomal RNA (228 nucleotides) under uncultured bacterium. RNAcentral's name for it is "partial 16S ribosomal RNA". It matches the Rfam family "Bacterial small subunit ribosomal RNA", at positions 103 to 334 of the family's 1533-position model. The record is from RNAcentral.